RNAcentral lists this ribosomal RNA (336 nucleotides) under Triticum aestivum (bread wheat). RNAcentral's name for it is "partial small subunit ribosomal RNA". The record is from RNAcentral. Lineage: Eukaryota; Viridiplantae; Streptophyta; Magnoliopsida; Poales; Poaceae.
AUGGAGGCUUUGUCACUGCGGGGAGGAGUCCGUUUUGCUACUCUACGAGGCUUCCAGCAAGUGAUUAUAGACGUUGAUUGUCUGGAGCUGGUGAUGCUCUGGGAAACUCGCCACAACUCUCGUUCUAUUGUGGCUCCAGUCUUGUUAGAAAUAGGGGAGCUUAGUUCUUUUUUCACUACUUUUGAUGUUAUUCAUGUAAGCAGGUCAGCAAACUUACCAGCACAUCUCUGUGCAAAAUAUGCAUGCACACUGAAUGUGACUGAAAGAUGGACCGAGACCCCUAGCAUCCUUGUGACCAGUCUACUGGCUGAUUGUCCAAGGAAUGCUCUUGCUUAA